UCAUUCUCUCCCAACCGAUCUUUCUAUCUGGUUCUCUCUAGAACCUUCUCUUCUCCCGUCCUCUCCGAUGGACCCUGUCCACCUUCUCUGCCACCUCCCUUGUCGAAAACCAUGGCCACUUGUCAUCUCCUAGCCUCUACUUCACACCACGCUGGUUUGACACUACACUGAGAUCCUCAGGUGAACCUAGAGUGGUUCAACUCCUAACCAUGAUCCUUCAUGCCAUUUUCCAGACACCUUCCGCCGUUCAAGUAAGAUCUAUCACUUUUCAAGAUAAAAUCAAUAACAGUUAAAGGUUUUCUCAUCUUCUCUGGGUUCUCUGAAACCUCAACUCUUAAGAUUUUUCGAUUUCUUUUAGAUUCGUCUUAGAUCUAUAUAUAUUAUGAGCUUUUGUUAUUUUCCUCAAAGGUUUUUUUUCGAGUUUUUCUAAAGUAAUUCUUCAUCUUCAACUAGGGUUUUAACCUCUUUUUUUAAAAAAUGCUUUUCUUCUAUUUUUUUGUAUAAAUCUAUGACUCUCACUCUGUUUAAACGAUUGUUUGAGCCUUCUCCUUUGUCCAAGUUAUUCUGUUGAAAAAAUACUAAUAUUUCUUAAGUUUCUGCGUUCGUCUUGGGUUCAGUGUUCAAUCAAUGUUUAUAUUUCUAAUGAACAUUUUGUGAUUCUAUGGUUUUACCCUAUGUUUGCUUAUUAGAGUGUCUGGUUGCAACUAUUCCUGCCUAUUAUGUGAUCCUAUUCUAUUCUGGUUCACCAAUGUUGCUGAAAUUUCACUUCUCCAGCCUGUAUUACAUCUAUUUUGUUAAUGUAGGUCAUGCUCUAUGUGAAUUCCUGAUUUAUAUGGGUUUUAUCCUAUGAGUUCUUGUUAGAGUUGCUGAUUUUCAUCUAUUAUGAGUUUGAUCUAUUUGUUCUCACGAGCUUCUGCUAAUUUCUCCUAAAUUGGUAUUGUUCUCUAUUUGUGAGUCUUCGAAUCCCUGUGAUUGAUUCUUCAUCGAUCUUGCACGAAUUCUCUAAUGAUUCUUGAGAUAUCCAUUUAAUUAAGGAUGGUUUCCUAUUUAUCGUUGCCUAAAGCAUGUUACUCCGCUAAUGUGUGAUAUUUUCCUUUGGUAAAUAUUGAUUCCCUGUAAUUUGAACCUCAUUUGAGGAUCUCCUUACUGAUUUCCAGAAUUUUGAAUUAUCUCCUGCCUUGUUUCCCUGGUCGUCCCCUGUCAAACUUAUUUGUAUAUAUUUUCCUUAAAUAGGAUUAUGCUCUUGACCUUAAUUUCAUGCUCUAUCCUAUAUCACAUUUGUACUACUUCCUUAUUGUGUUAUAAUCAGCUUUACUUGAUUCCUUUCCUUAUUUUGCCACCGCUUCUUACCGUUUGAGUAUGAUUCCUUAAUUAAAGAAAGUCUGUAUACUAAAUUGAUUCCAAUUAACAUUUAUUUCUAUAAUUACUGUCGAACUAUUAUUUUUACCGUAUUCUUCCACCCGUUUUCAAGCUAUAUAUACUCUAUUCAUUCAUUAGUAGAACAUACGAACAAAAUCUGUUCAACUCUCUGUCUCACAACUAAAACUCUCUAUUCUCUCUUCUGUGCUACUUGGUGCUAUCCUAAGAUAGCCGGCUGC
RNAcentral lists this long non-coding RNA (1598 nucleotides) under Nicotiana benthamiana. Its description in RNAcentral is "long non-coding RNA (NBEN_LNC031275)". Lineage: Eukaryota; Viridiplantae; Streptophyta; Magnoliopsida; Solanales; Solanaceae. The record is from RNAcentral.